RNAcentral lists this non-coding RNA (89 nucleotides) under Enterobacter sp. BIGb0383. Lineage: Bacteria; Pseudomonadati; Pseudomonadota; Gammaproteobacteria; Enterobacterales; Enterobacteriaceae. RNAcentral also lists the same sequence under 1 other name. The record is from RNAcentral.
CUCAAUGGCAGACCGGACGAGGGCGUCGAAAGACGCGCCGGUUUCCUGUAACACCGGUAAGGCUAACCUCGUUCGGUUCUGCCACCCGC